RNAcentral lists this ribosomal RNA (428 nucleotides) under uncultured Chlamydiae bacterium. RNAcentral's name for it is "bacterial SSU rRNA". It matches the Rfam family "Bacterial small subunit ribosomal RNA", at positions 958 to 1385 of the family's 1533-position model. Lineage: Bacteria; Pseudomonadati; Chlamydiota; Chlamydiia. The record is from RNAcentral.
AACGCGAAGAACCUUACCCAGGUUUGACAUACAGAGGACGAUACCAGAGAUGGUAUUUCCCGAAAGGGUCUUUGUACAGGUGCUGCAUGGCUGUCGUCAGCUCGUGCCGUGAGGUGUUGGGUUAAGUCCCGCAACGAGCGCAACCCUUAUCAUUAGUUGCCAACACGUAAUGGUGGGAACUCUAAUGAGACUGCCCAGGUUAACUGGGAGGAAGGUGAGGAUGACGUCAAGUCCGCAUGGCCUUUAUAUCUGGGGCUACACACGUGCUACAAUGGUCGGUACAGAAGGCAGCGAAGUCGAAAGAUGGAGCAAAUCCCAAAAAGCCGAUCUCAGUUCAGAUUGUAGUCUGCAACUCGACUACAUGAAGUUGGAAUUGCUAGUAAUGGCGUGUCAGCAACAACGCCGUGAAUACGUUCCCGGGCCUUGUA